Molecule: long non-coding RNA, 3503 nt
Organism: Passer domesticus (house sparrow)
Lineage: Eukaryota; Metazoa; Chordata; Aves; Passeriformes; Passeridae
Exons: 2
Source: RefSeq, a predicted model, not a curated record
UCUCCUUCCAUCCCAAGGCCCCAGGUUAUCACCAGGCUUGGGGUAAGAAAACCUUCCCAAGCUGAGUUUGGCAGGUUCACAGCUUUCCUUCACUUAGUCUGAAAAAUAAGGAGACACCUCUUGGUGAAGUACAAGGAGACAGGGUAGAAUAUUCAAUUCCUCUUGGAGGAAAGUGGUUUCCUCCUUGGUCUCUGAUAAAUCAGUUGUUCUGAGGUAAUCUUGUGCUGCAGGGCUGAUCUGGGACUUUGCUGCCUGUGAAUUGAGUUCUGCCUCCUCUAGAACAGCCCAGAUGAGAAAGGAUUUUGUACCACGGUGGAACAGAGACCCUCCAGUGCCUCCUUCCAUGCCCAGGGCCCCACCCUAUCACCAGGUUUGUGGUAAGAAAACUUUUCUGAGCUGAAUUUGGCAGCUUUCUUUCACUUACUCCGAAAUACAGAGCCACAAGAGUUGCUGGGUUCAUCCCUCACCCAAACCAUGUCCUGCUGUCAGGGAGACUCCAGGAUUCAGAUCUGGCCAGACAGUCAGACUUGCUGAGCACAGAGCUCUGCCCAGCAGCACCCUGUGGUGUUUUUCCCUAGGAAAUGUUGAUUUAACUCUCUCAGGAAUCAUCACUCCUCAGGGCAGUGCUGCUUUGAAGUGGUUACCAGCCUGGUGAGCAGUAAGUGCAGGGCGUGGUGUCUAUCUGCGAGGCAAGGGUGGCAUUCUGUUUCCUGGGGACAGAAGCUUUAAUAAAGGGAGUUUCCCUCCUUGCAGUGGGCAGGUGUGAGGCAGCUGCUCUUCUGGGGAGCCAGGUGAGAUGCAAAAUUUGGUGCAAAAAACACACUGGAAUGCUGCUUUUUGUUAAGGCCACUUCACACUUGUCCAGUGGCACAAAGCUUAAGGGUCCAAGUCAGCAGGACACAGCACUGAGUGAUUUAAGAAGUUUCUGCUCCUGUUCAGGACUGAAUCAGACCUGCAGACCCAGCUCUGGUUUGUAGGGGAUCUAGAGUGAUGCUCACCUUGAUCCCAAAAGGGUUAAUUCAGUUUCUGCUGUGCCUGUAGACUUUUAGCAGGGAAACAAGGCAAGUAAAAGCGGGUAAGAGCCUGGAUCUCUGGACUCUGCAGAGGCAGUGGCAGGAAAACACCUCACGUGUGGGCUGGAGUGUGGAGCAGGGGUAACUCCAUGGGUCAGGGUUUGCACUGGAAGCAUUUUCCUGGCUAUUUUUUCCCCAGCUUUGCCCCACCAGCUUUGUAUGUGGUAAAACAGCUGCCACCAGAGGCAGAGCUCCAGCUCAUCCCAGUUGCAAAACACCUGGUGAGGUGUGAGAGAUGCUCCCUGCUCGUGCUGCAGCCGGUGCUUACUCAUCCCACGGGGUGCAGAGCUGGUCCCUGGGCAUUUGUGUUGGCAGCUCUGCUGGAACACCUUCCCUUUUGGCAGUAGUUAUGUAAGGAGCUAAAAAUGCUGGGGUGACUCACGGGUGUCUGAGCAGAGCUGUUGGAACAGGAAUGGAGCAGUGAGUUCCCCCAGCCACGGCUGCACAGCAGGCCCUGCAGCCUCUCCCUCCUUGGUGCUGCCCCUGCUGAAGACCCUCUUGCUCCAGGGGAUUGUCUUCCCUCUUACUCCCCAUUCCUGCCCCCCAAACGAUGUUGGAGCCCCUACAAAGCUCGUCACUUGUGCCUCUGAUCUCUCCAGCAGCCUUCACUGGGGCCAUCCCAAGCCCCUCUUAUCUCUAGACCUUCUGCAUCCCAUCUCCCUUUGUUAUCUUUUCUGCCUUUCCAUUCUCCUGCUCUCUUCCCAAGGAAAGCUUCAGGCCAGAAGCACCUGGAGUUAAGGGAGGAUGGAUCCAGGUUAUUUUCCUUCUUCACAAUUUUUUGCUAUAUCUGCUUGUGGGUACCUUGGUGUUUUAUUCCUCCAUCUGAUGCCUCAGGAAGGCUGACCUAGAACAGAGACUAGUCUGAGCUAAAGACUAAAGCAGGGAUUUAUUAAAAGGAUCUCCUCCAUGGAUCCACCUUGGGCAGCACAAGAGCCCAGCCAGGGCUGCACCCAGGAUGAACCCAAAUGGCCCCAAAAUGCACGAGCGCUGCCGGGGUCUCUCCCUGGGAUCAGCUCUGCUCCAUGUGCACAUUGCAGUUCAUUGUCCAAUUCCAGCCCCAGCCCCUGCAGUCCCAUCCUGCUUGUUUUUCUCUCUCCAGCCCAUGGGGUUUGUGCUCUUGGGCUGAGAUUUGGAUCAUUUGUCCUUGGUCCCCAGCUGGAGCAGGAAUUGUUUUGUCUCCCUGCUCUGUGCAGAGAGCUCACCAUCCCCUCAUGUGAAGCUCAGACCCACACACUAAAGCAGCACAGAAUCUGAAAAAUAGAAAAUCUGAAACCUGAGGCAUCACAUCCUUCCCAACCUGACCUAAUCCAUGCUGGGGUGUCCCUCUCCAAAGGAGACUCAGGGAGCACCUCGGAUCUUCUUCCAUGAGUGAUUUUCCUGAUCUGGGCUGAUAUUUGAGUUCUUGAUCAGAUCCGAGUGACGUCUCCGCCAAAGAGACAAAUUUGUACUUUUGUGGGCUUGUUGUGCCACCUCAGAGGUUUUGUCCCACUGUCUCCAAAGGGAUGUGAUUUUUCCAUAAAUGAUGAAGACUCAUAAUUGUAUUUCCCUGAAGUCUUCAGCCCAUUGUGCUUCACAAACCUGGACUCCACAUCUACAUGUUCCAAGGCUGUAGCCAGGUGGGGUUCAGCCUCUUUCCCCAGACACCUGGUGAAUAAACAAGGAGAAACAGCUCCAUGGGAGGUUCAGGUCGGAUAUUGGGAAAACGUCAUCCACUGAAAGAGUGUUUAAAUAUUGGCUGCCCAGGGCUGCUGAGGUCACCAGUCCUGGAAGUGUUCAAAAACCAAGCAGAAGUGGCACUUGGAGAUGUGGUUCAGUGGGCACAGGAGUAUUUGGUCAAAGGUUGGAUUUGGAGGUCUUGGAAUUCUUUUCCAACCUUUCUCUGAUGACUCAGAUCAAAGGUUGGAUUUGGAGGUCUUGGAAUUCUUUUCCAAACUCUCUCUGAUGACUCAGAUCAAAGGUUGGAUUUGGAGGUCUUGGAAUUCUUUUCCAAACUCUCUCUGAUGACUCAUAUCUCCUAUGACAUAACCCACAGUUCCAGUGAUGCCAUUGUCACAAACAGAAAUGAACUGAGGAGCAGGAUUGGUCCCUGUGCUGCUGUUGCCUCUCUGAGUGCCUUGGUUGCUGUACAGAGAUGCCCAUUCCAACAAAAUGGAAAUCUCUGCUCCCCUCAUCCCCCAUGGGGCCAGGAGGUGGAAAAGUCCCUGUGUAUCAGCUCUCUGGAGGUGCCUGUGGUGCUGCAGCAGAGGCUCACAGGACCGAGGAGUCAGCUGUGGCACUGUGGAACUCUGUCCUGUUCUCCUCAGCUCCAGCAAUGCUCAUGCAGCUCUUUCCACAUCAAAAUUCUUCCACGCUCAAGAAAAACAGUCAACCAUUAACCAAAAGACCCCUAAAUAAUGGAUAAAAUGAAGGAUGACUGGGGUACUAUUCAAA